RNA transcript from Solanum stenotomum, 863 nucleotides. It is a transcript of the gene named non-classical arabinogalactan protein 30-like, with no coding region annotated. The transcript has a single exon. NCBI's taxonomy places the organism in Eukaryota, Viridiplantae, Streptophyta, Magnoliopsida, Solanales, Solanaceae. The record is from RefSeq and is a predicted model, not a curated record.
UGAAGAUGGUCAUCACGUCUGGAAACAAUUGAGGAUCAAUACUCACUCAACAACAAAUGUUGUUUAGUAGCAUUCACGUUCUUGACAACACUACAAACAACAGCCAUGCCAAAAACUUUAUAAAGGAAUCUAACUCAAAUGAACUUAACAUCAAAGCAGAAUCACAUUCCAAAACUCACAAUAUAUUUUCAAGAAGAUGGCAAGCAGCCAACUUGUCCUGAUUGUUUCGUUGCUCCUUGCAUUAGCCGUUCCACUGAUAACUGCCUAUGACAAAGUGCCAACUAAGUCAGUAGAGAAGACUGACCAAGUGGUGGUUGAAGGCAUGGUCUACUGCCAGAGCUGUGAUAACUAUGGAUCAUGGUCUCUGUCAAAAGGUAAGCCCAUUGCAGGAGCUAAAGUUAGUGUUAUCUGCAAAAAUUACAAGAAAAGAGUCAGCUUCUACAAGGCAUUUAAAACAGAUGAAACUGGCUACUUAUUUGCAGAGCUGGAUGGCUUCAAAAUGGGGCAUUCUUAUCUUGACCAUCCUCUACAUUCAUGCCGCGUAAAACUGGUCGACUCUCCUCUAGAAAACUGUGAUGUGUUCACUAAUGUCAACUAUGGAAUCACUGGUGCUCGACUUCGAUUUUUAGACAAGACAUUGAAGCGAAGUAAUUACGAGGCUGUAAUUUAUGCUGCAGGUCCCUUCGCUUUCCGACCAGCUCACUGCCCUCCCAAGCCAGAAUAUUAAUUGAUUUCCAUCAUGUACUUUCAUAUUUUGAACUUUUUACUGGUUUUAUGCUUUCAUAAGAGUAUUGAGUAUAAAUUUUCCUUUUCUCUGUAAGCCAAUUGUGCAACAUUCUUCACAUUGCAAGCAACAUUGUGCU